RNAcentral lists this ribosomal RNA (253 nucleotides) under uncultured bacterium. RNAcentral describes it as "partial 16S ribosomal RNA". It matches the Rfam family "Bacterial small subunit ribosomal RNA", at positions 524 to 776 of the family's 1533-position model. The record is from RNAcentral.
UACGAAGGGAGCUAGCGUUGUUCGGAAUCACUGGGCGUAAAGCGCACGUAGGCGGAUUUGCCAGUCAGGGGUGAAAUCCCGGGGCUCAACCUCGGAACUGCCUUUGAUACAGCAAGUCUUGAGUUCGAGAGAGGUGGGUGGAAUUCCUAGUGUAGAGGUGAAAUUCGUAGAUAUCAGGAAGAACACCGGUGGCGAAGGCGGCCCACUGGCUCGACACUGACGCUGAGGUGCGAAAGCGUGGGGAGCAAACAGG